GUAAUUUUGUCUACCGCCUAAAAUGGCAAAGAAGAAUACAACUGCAGGGUGCAGUUUGGCUUCCAGAGAUCGAAGUACAACUUCUUCCCUGAUCCAGAGGAGCUCAGUUAUGUGCUGCUGCGUACUGGAGGCAAUUGGACCCGAUCUCCCAUUCUGGAAGCAAUUCGCCCUCCUUUGCUGUCAUUUCAGAUUAUCAUAUUAAGAAGUGGAAAUUCUGCCUCCUGCUAACUAUUGUUUUGCUACAAAUAGCCUCCUUCCUUUGGAGAUGUCUGAGAUUUGGCAGAGAAUGAAGGUGGAGGGGAGAUGCUGAAUCCAUGACACCACCAAAGACAACAGUUGGUCAUUGUUUAAACAAACAGUGACUUGCAUCAUGAAACUAAAGUGGGUACGCAGUAAGGAGGGCGGCUGCCCUUCCUUCCCUUGGUGCCUACAGCUGGCUCGUGUUGUCGGACUCGCAGCUGAUGCCCCUUGGCCGAUCAUGCAUUGCUGAUCACCAUUCAAGGUAAGAGACAAAAGGGAGAGCUUAGCAGUCAAGAGGAUACUGAUGAGAGGGGAAAUUGCUUAUUUGAAAGGCUCUUUUAGCACUCCUCUCUUUCCUGACAACAACAACGUUUAUCGCUCUUCUUUCAUCCCUCUUUGUAGAGUCGCUGUCCAUUAUGAAGAGCUCCUGAGGAAACCCGGCUGUGCCCUCCGCUAAUCUCACCCCUCCGAGCUGGGUGCCCCACGAUGGGACGGGACCGUCCGCACGGCCCGGGGCUGCCUGGCUGCGGGUAAUCCACGCAAGGAUUGUGCUCCCAUGUGCAGUAAUCACCCUGCACAAUUUGGCAGCAGUGUUAUCGGCACUGACCGGUGUCUGGAGUGAAACAAGUAAGACUUUAGGAGGUGACUUCCAUUUUGUGACUGCAGCACUUCAGCAUGUGGCUGCCUUCAUUUACUGGAGUAUGCUGGCCAAGACUGCCUUGUUUGUGGAUUACCCAGGUGUGUAUUUUCACUUUUUAAAUCAAAAGACUGUGUGGACUGGCCCAGCAGAGAUGUUAAAUUUAACCUGAUUCUAGUCUAAGAUAGACCUGAGUAAGGUUUAGUUUAAACAAACCCACUGUUUGCUCGGCUUUUGCCUUUGCUGGCUGACCUGAUUUAGGAUCGCGUAUUGUGUUGAGCCAGUAAAACUGUGUCUGUAGCCAAACCAUGUGUGCACAAUACAGUCCAUGUUGCCCUGUUGCCAGUUGUUCCUCCAGCAGUGGGUGCAGUGUGGGCUUUCAGCUGUGGAUCUCUUGGCCUUGGAAGUGGACCCUGCCAAGAUGCAGGUAUUGAAUGAAGCACCACAAUGG
RNAcentral lists this long non-coding RNA (1328 nucleotides) under Numida meleagris (helmeted guineafowl). RNAcentral describes it as "lncRNA (ENSNMEG00000020295.1)". The record is from RNAcentral. Lineage: Eukaryota; Metazoa; Chordata; Aves; Galliformes; Numididae.